This 277-nucleotide ribosomal RNA is filed under the name Candidatus Rokubacteria bacterium 13_1_40CM_69_27. RNAcentral's name for it is "partial 16S ribosomal RNA". It matches the Rfam family "Bacterial small subunit ribosomal RNA", at positions 1 to 260 of the family's 1533-position model. The record is from RNAcentral. Lineage: Bacteria; Candidatus Rokuibacteriota.
UUUUAUGGCGAGUUUGAUCCUGGCUCAGAGCGAACGCUGGCGGCGUACUUAACACAUGCAAGUCGAACGAGGAUCGCGGUGUGAGCAAUCAUAUCGCGGUCCUAGUGGCGUACGGGUGAGUAACACGUGGGUAACCUGCCCUUGAGACCGGGAUACCCUUUCGAAAGGGAGGCUAAUACCGGAUACGUUCCCCGGGUCGCGAGAUCUGGGGAGGAAAGGCGGCGCAAGCUGCCGCUCUUGGAGGGGCUCGCGGCCUAUCAGCUAGUUGGUGAGGUAA